This 71-nucleotide transfer RNA is filed under the name Danionella translucida. It matches the Rfam family "tRNA". Rfam says of the family: Transfer RNA (tRNA) molecules are approximately 80 nucleotides in length. Their secondary structure includes four short double-helical elements and three loops (D, anti-codon, and T loops). RNAcentral also lists the same sequence under 1 other name. The record is from Rfam by way of RNAcentral. Lineage: Eukaryota; Metazoa; Chordata; Actinopteri; Cypriniformes; Danionidae.
GGUUCUAUGGUGUAAGGGUUAGCUCUCUGGACUCUGAAUCCAGUGAUCCGAGUUCAAUUUCGGUAGGUCCU